GGAAGGGGUGAGGUUAAUACCUUAGCAAUUGACGUUACCCGCAGAAGAAGCACCGGCUAACUCCGUGCCAGCAGCCGCGGUAAUACGGAGGGUGCAAGCGUUAAUCGGAAUUACUGGGCGUAAAGCGCACGCAGGCGGUCUGUCAAGUCGGAUGUGAAAUCCCCGGGCUCAACCUGGGAACUGCAUUCGAAACUGGCAGGCUAGAGUCUUGUAGAGGGGGGUAGAAUUCCAGGUGUAGCGGUGAAAUGCGUAGAGAUCUGGAGGAAUACCGGUGGCGAAGGCGGCCCCCUGGACAAAGACUGACGCUCAGGUGCGAAAGCGUGGGGAGCAAACAGGAU
RNAcentral lists this ribosomal RNA (338 nucleotides) under Leclercia adecarboxylata. Its description in RNAcentral is "bacterial SSU rRNA". It matches the Rfam family "Bacterial small subunit ribosomal RNA", at positions 442 to 778 of the family's 1533-position model. The record is from RNAcentral. Lineage: Bacteria; Pseudomonadati; Pseudomonadota; Gammaproteobacteria; Enterobacterales; Enterobacteriaceae.